CUUCACCUACGGGACGCAGCAGUAGGGAAUAUUGCUCAAUGGGGGAAACCCUGAAGCAGCAACGCCGCGUGGAGGAUGAAGGUUUUCGGAUUGUAAACUCCUUUUGUUAGAGAAGAUAAUGACGGUAUCUAACGAAUAAGCACCGGCUAACUAUGUGCCAGCAGCCGCGGUAAUACAUAGGGAGCAAGCGUUAUCCGGAUUUAUUGGGUGUAAAGGGUGCGUAGACGGGAAAUUAAGUUAGUUGUGAAAUCCCUCGGCUUAACUGAGGAACUGCAACUAAAACUGAUUUUCUUGAGUACUGGAGA
This 305-nucleotide ribosomal RNA is filed under the name uncultured bacterium. RNAcentral describes it as "bacterial SSU rRNA". It matches the Rfam family "Bacterial small subunit ribosomal RNA", at positions 331 to 655 of the family's 1533-position model. The record is from RNAcentral.